Non-coding RNA from Ciona savignyi (Pacific transparent sea squirt), 82 nucleotides. The record is from Rfam. NCBI's taxonomy places the organism in Eukaryota, Metazoa, Chordata, Ascidiacea, Phlebobranchia, Cionidae.
GUCGUCGUGGCCAAGUGGUUAAGGCGACAGACUAGAAAUCUGUUGGGCUCUGCCCGCACAGGUUCGAAUCCUGUCGGCGACG